GAUGAACGCUGGCGGCGUGCCUAAUACAUGCAAGUCGAGCGAACAGACGAGGAGCUUGCUCCUCUGACGUUAGCGGCGGACGGGUGAGUAACACGUGGAUAACCUACCUAUAAGACUGGGAUAACUUCGGGAAACCGGAGCUAAUACCGGAUAAUAUAUUGAACCGCAUGGUUCAAUAGUGAAAGACGGUUUUGCUGUCACUUAUAGAUGGAUCCGCGCCGCAUUAGCUAGUUGGUAAGGUAACGGCUUACCAAGGCAACGAUGCGUAGCCGACCUGAGAGAGGGAUCGCCCACACGGGAACGGGAACACGGUCCAGACUCCUACGGGAGGCAGCAGUAGGGAACCUUCGGCAAUGGGCGAAAGCCUGACGGAGCAACGCGGCGUGAGGGAUGAAGGUCUUCGGUUCGUAAAACUCGGUUAUUGGGGAAGAACAACUGUGUAAGUAACUAUGCACGGCUUGACGGUACCUAAUCAGAAAGCCACGGCUAACUACGUG
This 497-nucleotide ribosomal RNA is filed under the name uncultured bacterium. RNAcentral's name for it is "partial 16S ribosomal RNA". It matches the Rfam family "Bacterial small subunit ribosomal RNA", at positions 28 to 507 of the family's 1533-position model. The record is from RNAcentral.